ACCGUGCAUCACUAGGGUGCAGAAGAGGAUAAAGGCCUUGCCUCCAAAAGAGGAAGUGAACAUGCAAAGUAACAACUGUAUUUCCUGGGGUGGGCUCAAUACUUUGAGAAUGCUGGCAAUCCAGAAUGAGGACACCCACAGAGCUCAGAAGUGAGGGGUGGGGAGCAGCACACAAGGGGCAGAUCCCUCAGAGGAUGCCUGAACUGAGUCUAAAAGGGUGAGAGGUAGGGCAGGGCUUUCUUUCAUGGAUAAGAGACCCCAGAAUCAACUUCAAAGAGAAGGAAGACUCGGGUUCAGACACUACUAUGCUGGCCAAAGGAAAAGCUCCAAUUUAGUCAUCCCUUAGCCUCCACCUGGGCAGACCAAUAAGCUUUGCCUGUAUCUUCACCAUUCCCAGCAUUUCCUGAGGCUCAGGAAGGGAAGCUGAACAAUUCAUUCGCUUAAUUUAUUUGUUAUUUAUAUAUGUCUUCUUUUAAAAAGCAAUCUAAUGUGGUUUCAUAAACAGGAUUCCUAUUAGCCAGUGAGUAGAGACUGGUCACAACACCCUAUAACCACACUUCCCCCAAAAUAACACUGAGAUUAGACACCCCCCCCCCCCCGCCUCAGAGAUUCCAAUGUAAGGUGCUGGCAACUGGAGAUCUUUCAGAAGGACUGGGGGCCCUGAGGACAUUCAGAUUUCCUCCACAUUGGACUUAACAGAAGAUUUUUCUCUUUGAGACCUAAGAAGAGUCCUUUUGGCUCAAAUCUACCCCACCAUCAAGGAAUGCAGGCAGAAGAAAAGAACCACAGCAUCUUCGGGGCUUAUGGUCUCCAGGUCCUGAACAAGGCAAUUUGAGGAGCUAACUCACAGCGCAGUCAUUUUGGAACCUGGAUAUAUGGUAACAGAGCAUAGCCUUACAUCUGGGAAUGUCCAUGCUGUUGGAUCCCAUAUAUACUGGCCCUUUUCACCUAGAUUCAGAAGGGUCCUACUCAAAGAGAGGAGCAGAACAGCUCUGAAGGCAUGUGCAGGCUCUUCUUCCCCAGGAAGGAACAGGAGGAAAGAAACACACCUCUCCAUUUGCUGGGAGUGUAUAGACCAUUCAGGUUAAAAGACUCUCUAAAAAUCUUCCAGUAACUCAUCAUCUCAUAUUGAGAAAAUCAAGACUAAUAAAUCACAACUUGGAAUCACA
Long non-coding RNA from Suricata suricatta (meerkat), 1169 nucleotides. RefSeq lists it as uncharacterized. Lineage: Eukaryota; Metazoa; Chordata; Mammalia; Carnivora; Herpestidae. The record is from RefSeq and is a predicted model, not a curated record. The transcript is spliced from 2 exons.